ACCUGGCUGGCUCAGUCAGUAAAGCAUAGGACUUUUGAUCUUACGGUCGUGAGUUUAAGCCCAAUGUUGGGUG
RNAcentral lists this transfer RNA (73 nucleotides) under Ailuropoda melanoleuca (giant panda). It matches the Rfam family "tRNA". From Rfam's summary of the family: Transfer RNA (tRNA) molecules are approximately 80 nucleotides in length. Their secondary structure includes four short double-helical elements and three loops (D, anti-codon, and T loops). Further hydrogen bonds mediate the characteristic L-shaped molecular structure. tRNAs have two regions of fundamental functional importance: the anti-codon, which is responsible for specific mRNA codon recognition, and the 3' end, to which the tRNAs corresponding amino acid is attached (by aminoacyl-tRNA synthetases). tRNAs cope with the degeneracy of the genetic code in two manners: having more than one tRNA (with a specific anti-codon) for a particular amino acid; and 'wobble' base-pairing, i.e. permitting non-standard base-pairing at the 3rd anti-codon position. The record is from Rfam by way of RNAcentral. Lineage: Eukaryota; Metazoa; Chordata; Mammalia; Carnivora; Ursidae.